GGGCUCCUUCGGGAGCACCGGCGGACUGCUCAGUAACACGUGGACAACCUACCCUCGGGUGGGGGAUAACCUCGGGAAACUGAGGCUAAUACCCCAUAGGCCUCGGAUACUGGAAGGUUCCGAGACCGAAAGCUCCGGCGCCCGAGGAUGGGUCUGCGGCCUAUCAGGUAGUUGGUGGUGUAAAGGACCACCAAGCCUACGACGGGUACGGGCCCUGAGAGGGGGAGCCCGGAGAUGGACUCUGAGACACGAGUCCAGGCCCUACGGGGCGCAGCAGGCGCGAAACCUUCGCAAUGCGCGAAAGCGCGACGAGGGGAGCCCGAGUGCCCUUCCUUUCGGGAGGGCUUUUCUGGAGCCUAAAAAGCUCCAGGAAUAAGGGCUGGGCAAGACGGGUGCCAGCCGCCGCGGUAAUACCCGCAGCUCGAGUGGUGACCACUAUUAUUGAGCCUAAAG
RNAcentral lists this ribosomal RNA (453 nucleotides) under uncultured archaeon. RNAcentral's name for it is "bacterial SSU rRNA". It matches the Rfam family "Archaeal small subunit ribosomal RNA", at positions 62 to 515 of the family's 1478-position model. The record is from RNAcentral.